Marmota monax (woodchuck) is the source of this 658-nucleotide long non-coding RNA. RefSeq lists it as uncharacterized. NCBI's taxonomy places the organism in Eukaryota, Metazoa, Chordata, Mammalia, Rodentia, Sciuridae. The record is from RefSeq and is a predicted model, not a curated record. The transcript has 2 exons.
GCGUGUACACACACUCACACAAAAGGUUUCUGAGGCAGAGAGAAGUCCCAUCAAAUGCCACAGUUGGAAGAGAGGGAGUGGUCCCUCAUGGGCCCUCCUGGGGUGGCUCCAAGUCCUUCUCAAUGCCACAGGCUGUGGGAUUCCAUGUCACUGCACUGAGACCCGAAGAGACAAGUCGAAGGCCAUGUCUCUGCCUGACCUUAAGGUGCUGGGUUUGGAAACCAGGGCCUCGCACAUGGCUAGGCAAAUGCUGUACCACGGCGCUGCACGCCCGGCCCUAAACUGCAAAUUCUUGGGGAUGGGUUAAAAUCCUUUCCACCACUAAUUUUUGACAGCCCCAAAUGUCUCAGCUGCCCACACCUGGUGUCAGGACCCGGGGUCCCCUCCUGUCCAUCAAAGGGCAAGGCAAGGGCAGUCUAGGUCAACUCCUAGGUGAACCUAUUUUUCUAAGCUAUGCCCUCAAUAACGGACACCACCCACUGGCCCUUCCGGCCUGGGCCUGUGUAGCGGUGGGGUCUGAUGGGGACGGCAAUUAACCGGCUGCUUGCCUUCUCUGUCACCCAUGUGUCUCAUGCAAAUUUUUGAUAUUUUGUUCAGAAUGAGUUGUUUGCAUUAAUCUGAAUUUUUAAAAACAUUACACUAAAAUGUAACUUAUCGA